AGAGAGAGAGAGAGAGAGAGAGAGAGAGAGGAGAGUGAAGCUGUGGUAGAGACACCAGCAGGUGCUGAGGAUAGAAGCAAACAGGGUGCCAAAAAAAAGCGAAAAGUGUGUGAAUAGAUACAACUAAAGAACAGAAAAUAGUCAGACAUAAACUAUCAUGCAGUCCUAAGCUGGAGACCACUUAUAUUCAGCACCCCCGCACCCCCCCCACGGUGAGCUCUUUACCCUCCUUUCCUCGUACGGAUUCUCCCUCCUCCUCCUCCUCCUCCUCCUUCCUAUUCGUCUUUGACAGACAGCCACCAUGGACACCGGGAGCCCCAGGAAGAUACAGUUCACCGUUCCCCUGCUGGACACCCACCUGGACCCGGAGGCAGCAGAACAGAUCAGAAGACGCAGACCGACACCUGCUACGUUAGUGGCAUCCAGUGAUCAAUCAUCCCCUGAAAUAGAUGAAGAUCGGCUCCCAAACCAGUUGUAUAAGGCUGCCUUGUUGAACUCCCCUCGACAACGGCGAAAAGGGCCGAAGGGAACACCUACAAUGAAAGAGCUUCAGUUCAUGGUAGAGCAUCACCUGUACAGGCAGCAGCAGGGUGCCGGGGACGAGUGCUCCUCGGAGAGCUGCCUGUCGGACCGCCCCAGCCCCGACUCCUUCCCCACCGGGGAGGAGCUCCCGCACGAUGACGAGGCCACCGCAGAGGCCUUUGAGAAACUGCGCUGCCAAAUGGAGGUUCAACCUCCAUUUGUCCCUCCGGCCCCCUGCAGAGUUCUCAAGGGAGAGUCUAUUAGAAGCUGCCGGCGGACUCGAGUGUCCCCUCACCAAGGAGGGUGAGGAUCGCUCCGGCGUUGCCAGCGUAGCAGAUCCCUCGACGCAACAAAACAACGCACAACCAGACACAAAAGCUGUAGCGUCCACACCAAAUCAGGCGGCACAGGAGAAGACAAAGAAAAGCAGCAUGAAGAAAGGGAAGUAGAGCAGCAACACAAAGCUGCUCGCUUGUCUCGGCCAGCCUCACACAUUACAGAAAAUUUUGUCUGCAGAUCCACUUUGUUGAUACAGUAGAUCAGGGCGUCGACGUUCUUCUGCAGUCAGGCCUCAGUUACCAUCCAGAGAACAAGAGCCGGGUUCUACACUUAUUUGUUGUCAAAAACUACGCUACUUAGGAUACAUGCACAAUGCCCCCCUUGAUGUUCAAAACUGUUCCACCCACAAUCGUUUUAGACAGUUUGUCAUGAUGUGCCAUGACUCCUUAAAAAAAAGUUUUAUCUCAAAGCAAUACAAUUGUAUCUGUACCUCAUAAAAAACAGGGACCGAAACCAAUCAUUUUAGUCAUUCCUAAAUAAGUGGGUAACACAUCUGGUUGAUUGACAGUUUAAAGUAAAACUAUAUUAAAGUUCGUUUUGAUUACUUUAUUGGACAGCUAACUGGAUUGAAACAAUUGGUCAAUUCAGCAUUUUUUCUUUCCUAGAUUAAAUAUGUUAGAGGUUUCGACUGUUGGUUGGACAAAAAUAGACAUUUCAAAACUCCAAAUCUGUGCAUCUCUGCACAAAGCAGAAACCUCAUCAUUCCAACCAUAGACAUAUACAUAAAGGCUAGAUGUCUUAAGGCGGAGUA
This is a non-coding RNA of Gasterosteus aculeatus aculeatus (three-spined stickleback), 1612 nucleotides long. NCBI's taxonomy places the organism in Eukaryota, Metazoa, Chordata, Actinopteri, Perciformes, Gasterosteidae. The record is from RefSeq and is a predicted model, not a curated record.